GACGAACGCUGGCGGCGUGCUUAACACAUGCAAGUCGAACGGAAAGGCCCUGCUUUUGUGGGGUGCUCGAGUGGCGAACGGGUGAGUAACACGUGAGUAACCUGCCCUUGACUUUGGGAUAACUUCAGGAAACUGGGGCUAAUACCGGAUAGGAGCUCCUGCUGCAUGGUGGGGGUUGGAAAGUUUCGGCGGUUGGGGAUGGACUCGCGGCUUAUCAGCUUGUUGGUGGGGUAGUGGCUUACCAAGGCUUUGACGGGUAGCCGGCCUGAGAGGGUGACCGGAGGCAUUGGGAAUGGAAAAGGACGCAGGCUACUACGGGCGCCAGCAGCCGGAAGUGGGACCCCGUGGGGGGAGGCGUGGGGCAGACCCGCAGCGUGGGGGGUGGCGGGCAAAGGGUUAGAGGCGACUUGGGGAGGUGACGGACCGGGAGUGGCGGUGGUGGGUGAGAAGGCGCCGGCUAGCUACGUG
This 468-nucleotide ribosomal RNA is filed under the name uncultured bacterium. Its description in RNAcentral is "partial 16S ribosomal RNA". The stretch from base 20 to 332 matches the Rfam family "Bacterial small subunit ribosomal RNA", at positions 47 to 358 of the family's 1533-position model. The record is from RNAcentral.